GUCUCAUGCUCUACCAACUGAGCCAGCCAGGCACUCCUAUUCAAACAUCUGGUGUUUCCUAUAUGCAAGACAGCAUGAAAAAUAUGAAGAUAAAAAAAGGCAUUCCUGGCCUUCAAAAAUAUUGCCACACAUAAUGAACAGUAAUGUUUUGAACAACCUGGGUUACAAGAACAGCAAAGCAUCAAGCUCCUGACCACACCAAGCUUUGACUAUGCAGUUAAAAAGUGAAGACCCCUCACCAACGUAGGGAGCUGGAGAACAAAGGGGAAGGAAAUGUUAUUUUCAUAACUAUCUGUUCAUUCUAUCAGCCUUGCCAAAGACUUCACCUACUCAUUUAGCGUUGGAGACUGCAACUUUCUACUUAAUACAAUUUCGGGUAUCAUAUGAAAUACUUAUUAAAACAACGUUGUAACUAGAAGCGGGGACAAAACAGCUUUCGGGAGAAAUCAGAGCGACUAGUUGAUUGGUCAGUGCAGGGUAGGAAAGGAGCGUUGGUCUACACACAGCGAACAAAGACUAUUAUUUCUCAUCUAUUUCACUACUGAGGCAAAAAGACAUAAAAUAAAAAGAUCAAGUCUUCCAGGGACAAGCAUCCUGCCAUUUCUCUCAAUUUUUGUCCAUUGUGUUGGGGAAAGUCCUGCAAACCACCCUCUACCUCCUCCUAUCCCAUAUCACUGCCUCUAGAGUUAUUUUUCCCCUUCUGGUGAACAACACGUUGUAAAAUAAAGGGGUCCACAACCUU
Suricata suricatta (meerkat) is the source of this 742-nucleotide long non-coding RNA. RefSeq lists it as uncharacterized. Lineage: Eukaryota; Metazoa; Chordata; Mammalia; Carnivora; Herpestidae. The record is from RefSeq and is a predicted model, not a curated record. The transcript is spliced from 2 exons.